Molecule: non-coding RNA, 114 nt
Organism: Salmo salar (Atlantic salmon)
Lineage: Eukaryota; Metazoa; Chordata; Actinopteri; Salmoniformes; Salmonidae
Source: Rfam
GUGGGAUACGGGGACAUGUGUCCUACUACUCUGGGAGGCAAAAUGGUGGGGACUCUCUGCGCCAUUGCCGGCGUGUUGACCAUCGCCUUACCCGUCCCUGUUAUCGUCUCCAAC